Molecule: ribosomal RNA, 305 nt
Filed under: uncultured bacterium
Lineage: Bacteria
Description: bacterial SSU rRNA
Rfam family: Bacterial small subunit ribosomal RNA
Source: RNAcentral
UCCUACGGGGCGCAGCAGUGAGGAAUAUUGGUCAAUGGGCGGGAGCCUGAACCAGCCAAGUCGCGUGAGGGACGACGGUCCUAUGGAUUGUAAACCUCUUUUGUCGGGGAACAAAGGCGCCCACGGGUGGGCGGAUGAGUGUACCCGAAGAAAAAGCAUCGGCUAACUCCGUGCCAGCAGCCGCGGUAAUACGGAGGAUGCGAGCGUUAUCCGGAUUUAUUGGGUUUAAAGGGUGCGUAGGCGGGCUUUUAAGUCAGCGGUAAAAAUUCGGGGCUCAACCCCGUCCGGCCGUUGAAACUGGGGGC